UUUCGCCUGUUUAUUCAAAAACAUGUCUGNUGGUGAGUUUAAUGGUCUUACCUGCCCACUGCAAAGUAAAUGGCUGCGGUAAUUUGACCGUGCUAAGGUAGCAUAAUCAAUAGUUUUCUAAUUUAAAACUGGAAUGAAUGGUGUGACGAAAAGCAAGCUUUUUUUAAAAUAUAAAUUGAAUUUUACUUCUGAGUGAAAAGGCUUAGAUUUAAAUAAGGGACGAUAAGACCCUAUAAAACUUAAUAAUACUAGUUUAUUAAAAUUAUAAAGUUUAAAAUUAACUAACUUACUUUUAUUUAGUUGGGGUGACUAAGAUAUAAAUUGUAGCUGUCUCGGUUAGAUUAAUAAAUAUAUUUUGUUAUUAAAUCCUUUCUUAAAGAUUUAAAACUAAGUUACUUUAGGGAUAACAGCGUAAUUUUUUCUGAGAGUUCUUAUCGAAGAAAAUAGUUGCGACCUCGAUGUUGAAUUAAAAUUUUUGAUUAACGCAGCUGUUAAAGAAAUGGGUCUGUUCGACCUUUAAAAUUUUACAUGAUUUGAGUUCAGACCGGUGUGAGCCAGGUGGGKUUUCUAUCUA
Molecule: ribosomal RNA, 574 nt
Filed under: Hippolyte obliquimanus
Lineage: Eukaryota; Metazoa; Arthropoda; Malacostraca; Decapoda; Hippolytidae
Description: partial 16S ribosomal RNA
Rfam family: Bacterial large subunit ribosomal RNA
Source: RNAcentral